Molecule: long non-coding RNA, 10322 nt
Filed under: Capsicum annuum
Lineage: Eukaryota; Viridiplantae; Streptophyta; Magnoliopsida; Solanales; Solanaceae
Description: long non-coding RNA (CANN_LNC022379)
Source: RNAcentral
AACUAUUCAACAGGAACUAUACGUCACCAAAUCAACUAUUCGACAGGAACUAUACAUCGCCAUACCAACUAUUCUACAGGAACUACAUCACGAUACAAUCUAUUCAAUAGGAACUACAAAUCAACAUACCAUCUAUGCAGCAGAAUUAUAUAUACCCAAACAAACUAUUCAACACAAACUAUAUAUCAAGAGUCAACCUAGCAAACUUAGCUAAAACAAACAGAAACAUGAGAACCCCAAGAAACAUAUAAGCUCUAGUAGUUUGAACAUUUUCUCUUACAAAAACAAAACAUAAUCUAUAUCUAAUGUCUCACACGUCCAGCCAAUAACAUGAGAUAAUCAGUUAAACAGCUACAAAUUGUUCUAUUAUUAACAUUUUCCACUAAUUACACCUUCACCCAAUGAACCACCAUCAUCGCCGCAAGAACUGUUUCUUGCGUCCUUAAACAUGGCCAUUUCAUCCCUCACAGCAAUCAAAUUAAGUUUCAUUUCAUUCUUUGUAUCAAGGGUCUCAGUAACACUUUGGAAUCAACUUUUUUCAAUAAAGGCGUGUCACCACCAUCCACAUGAUUGUGUAUAGCAUAUCCAAUGUAAGCUGCACAAGCCAAAACCACAAAUUUCAAAGCAUUUCCUCUCAAAGCCAUCGAUGGGAGAAAGAAAGUUUCAGGGUUUAAGCUCAAGAAGAAUAGUGGGAAUUGGAAGCUAUGGUCCACUUGAAUUAUCCUUUUGACACUCACUCCGUCCCGGCCGCAUUUUCUAUUUUGGUCCGUUCGUUCUAUUUUAGGUGACUACUCACUUCAGAGCUUUUUUUUUUUUAUUUGGACAUACUUAAUAAACUACCCUUGUAAAAUUAAAGGUAACUUUUCAAAUUUAAUCUCUUUUUAAAUUGAUAUUGAUUACUAUAUUUAAAAUCAACAAUAGGGAGAUUAUAAUCAAAAUAUUAUUGAAGCAUUUAAAAAAAAUAAAAGGAGUAACUAUAAUUCAUCUUUUAACUUUAUUGAUCACACUUAAUUUUAAAAAUAAUAAUUCUUGUUCUUAUUACUUUCAUAAAAAAAAUAAAUUGAUAAACUUCAUAAAUCCUCUACUUAUUUCAUUAACAUCGUGCCUGGGUAAAAAAUCAUACACAAAAUGGGUUGAAGGGAUUAAGUCGUUUUUCGUUUUCCGAGAGUUAUUUUGACUAAUUUUCAAAGUUGAAUUAGAUUAAAUUAAUUUAAUAUUUUAAAAAUAAAAUUUAAAUAUUUAAAAACUAUAUAAAAAGUAUUAUAAGUUGUAAAUUUUCUUUUUUUAUUAAGAUAAAAAAAUAAAUAUAUCUUAAAAUAUUAAUCAAAGAUUAUAUCGUUUGACUCUAGAAAAAAAUUAUGAUGAGUAAAAAAGAGCGGAGGAUAUCGUAAACACACUAGUCCUACAUGACAUAUACGUGGCAAUUUUGUGUGAAAUUAUCAGGUAGAUGUGAUGGAAAAAUUAAUUAAGGGUGACAAAAAAAUUUCAAAAUUAAAAAAGAGCGUCACAAGUCUUAAAUAUUGCUUAGAUGUGACAAUUUUAAGAUUAGUUUUAAUGAUGCUACUUUUAAAACCCUCAAGUUUUAUUAUUUCCGCAAAAAUCUCUACUUUUUCCACCAUACCUCACCCCCUCCACACCUCUUCUAUCGCAGCCGUUACUGGCACCAUCACUCCUCUUAACACGACCCACCUAUCCCUUACACACUCUUUUUGUCGUUGUCUUCGCUGCCAUCGCCACAACCAUCUCCUCUUUCUUUACCACCACCCCAUUUCCACCUCUUAUAGAUCCACCACAAUUUCCUCUUCCUACGCAACCGUCGCCUAUUUUUCUUCUUUCUCUUCCACCAUCAUCACUAUCAACAUUACAACAACUGCGACCUUCUUCUUCGAUGUCACCACCACCACCAUCACCUCCCCUUAAUUCAUAAAUAUCACUUCUUUGUGGAUUCCUCUUCCACCAUAUAUUUUUUCAAAAAUUAAGUAAAUAUCGUAGUUGCUGCAACAAUUACCGUAACUGUUGUAGCAACUAUAGAAGUUGCUGCAGCAAAAGUCAAAAUUGUUGCAGCAAUAAUCGAAGUUGCUAUAACAAAAGUCGAAGUUGCUGCAGCAACUUCGAAAGUUGCUACAUAACAAUCAUAAUAAUUGUUGUAACACCACAAUUAAUUAUAACUGUUGCAGCAAUUAUCAAAGUUGUUGUAGUAACUAAUCGUAGUUGCUGUAGCAAUUACCAUAACUGUUGUAGCAACUAUGGUAGUUGCUGAAGCAGCUAUCGUAGUUGCUUAGUUUUCUUCAUUAUUUCUUUAAUCACUUUUUAAAAAUAAAAAAAAAUUCAAAGUUCACAAAAUUAAAAAAAUAAUUUAUAAAAAAUAAAAAAAGGAGAAGAACGAUGAUGAAAAGGGAAAGAAAAAGAAGAAAAAAAGAUGGGGGAAGAAGAAAAUCUAGAGAUAGAAAAAAGAAGAAGAAGAAGAAGAAAAUGGGGGAGAAAGAAAUUUGGAGAGAGUAAGAAAGAAAAAGAAGAAAGAUUGAAAAGAUAAGGAAAUGGGGGAAAUACUAAAAUUUGAAAUUUGGAGUGAGAGGAAAUAAUUUUUAAAAAAAUAAUAAAUUUUAAAAAAUUACACUUUACAACCUUAACAAAAUUUAAGUGAAGCUUUGACCUUAGUUGGUCAAAGUUAUCACCAUUUUUAAUUUAACAACGCUUUUCUCACCUUCCAUUCAAUUUACUCAUGUCAUAUAGAACGCAUAUAUCUACUUGUUCAAAUUUAUACAAGUUUAAUUGUUUAAUUAUGUACACUCAAAGUUGAAAAGUAUAGAGAUGAGUUAUGGUCAAUUUAAAGAGUAUGUUUAUGGAUUAUGCCUAAAAUAUAACAUAUCAGUCCUGAAGGAAAAUAAGUCAUUGUAGUAAAAUGCUAUUAUAAUAAAAGACAGUUAUACAAAGAAUUGACUGUGUUAGGAAAUAACAAUGGUAGUAGAUUGAAUUGGUGCACAUUCAACAUCAUAACUACAAACAUAAUCUAACAUCUUUCCAAUGCUUCAUUACUUGCAUCACUUCUAACUACACACCAUGUAGCCCCUUAUUGUUAACAUUACUAUAAUUAUUAACACUUCCAUGAACGUAUAUAUAGAUAGAGAGACGGAUCCAAAAAUAAAAGUCUUCACAAAAUUAUAAGAUUAUAUAUGUGGAGGCUAAAGUAUGUCUAGGGUUGAAAGGUCAAGAAAGUUGGUGGUUUGAAUUCUUAUAUACAAUUGAUAAAAUAAAAUCAGUGUUUCAGAGUCGAAUUCUACAUGAAAUAAGUUGAUGAUGUUUAAAUUUGAAUUCAUCGCCAUAAUUGUGAGAGUUGAGAAGUAAGGUAGGGAAAAAAAGAAAAGAAAUGAUUUAUUAGUGUCGACAAAGGAAAACUUUUAUAAUUAGAAGUUUGAUAAUAGUUAAAAAUAAGAAGAACAAGACAAUGAAGGAAGAAUAGAGUUGGGUGGUGAAUGACAUGUAAAGUAAGCAAAUGGAUCCAUUAUCCAAGUGUCAAAAGGUGUAUAGAGCCUCACACAACUAUAUUGAUUGUAGUAGGCCAAAAAAUAUCAUGUGAAAUUAUGCUAGAUGUAAUAUUCUUUUAUUUUUUUAUUUUUUAUGGUGUGUGCGCCCAUGUCAUCUUUCUCUCUUUUAUUUAUCUUUUCAAGUUUUUUUGGGGGGCUUAAUUCUUUUCUAUUCUUUUAGGGUUGUUUGGUAUACCAGAUAAGAAAAAUAAUGUCGCAAUAAGGUUUAGCAUUAACUUUAUUUCUUGUUGGGUAAAAUUGAAACACCUUAGUUUUGACCCUUAGAAAAUUUCUUGAGUUUCAACUUUUGGACAUCAUACGACUUGAGGAUACUUGUCGUAUGAUGUGGGUAUGGUUUAGGAUCCUCAACUCGUAUGAUAAUCAGUGUAGUUUGGUUGUUUACUGUACAUGGUACGAGAAGGCAUCAUAUUAGUCGUAUAUUAGGGUACGCGAAGUAUAGUGUCAAACCGUAUGAUGUCCUAUGUCUAGCCUAGAUGAUUCAGCCUAGGGUAUGGUUUAAGGGUUCUAAUCGUAUAUUAUGGAUACGAUUUAGCCCUUGUGGUCGUAUGUUGAACAAUGUUGGGGUCUAAGUUACUACCUAGGGUACGAGUGGUGGAUACCACUCGUAUGUUAUGGGUACGGUUUAGCUGGUGUAGUCGUACCCUCCUGCGUACCAUUUUUUAGCAUUUAAGUUGAUGGUAUUACAGACAUUUUGCACCCCAAAACCUUUAAGUUCCCACAUCUUAUAACACUUUGUGGCCUCUCAUAACAUACUUUGAAUGAUCAAAAUACUCCUAAAACUCUCUCUAAACUCUCUCUUGAAGAUUGGGCUAGGGUUUCUACAAAGUGUUCAUCUAGAGGCUCAAGAGUCAAGUUCUUUCCAUGAAUCUUCAUGAAUAAGGUAUGUGGAUCUUCCCUCAUUAUUAGUUCUCAAAUAUCAUAUGUUUUAAACAUCGUUUAUGAUUCAUUUAUGGUGGUUUUGAAAAUCAAUGUUGAGAGUUUUGUUGCAUAUUAUUAAGUAUUGUUUACUCUUGAUUUUAAUUGUAUUUAUACAUAUUUUAAUGAUGGUUUUUCACACGUGGGUGCUUGGUAAUUGUGGUUUAACAAUUGGGUCAUGUUUCACCCUAUACUUGAUGGUUCUUACCUUGAUUUUGGUCUUGAUAAUAGUAUGCCCUAAACAUGUUUGUAAAAAUGUCUAAGAGAAUAAACUAGUCACAUGUUAAAUGGUGUUUUGAACUAAGGCAUUGGCCUAAUGAAUAUGAAUGGUUGGUAACUGAUUUUGUGAAGGCCUUGUUCGCCAUUUAAUUAUUUAAAUAGUAAUCUUGGUGGUUUAAUUAUCUAAAUGGGUUUAAGUUCCUAAACAUUAAAUUGAUUUAUGUCUUCACCAGAUAAUAGGUUUGAGUCCCUAAACCUUGAAUUGAAUUAGUGUCUUUGUUAGACAAUGGGUUCGAGUCUCAAAGUCAAAUGAAUGAUUGGUUGACAGAUAAUGGUAAUGGCAUGUUGUACGCUUGCAAGUGGUGUUGGUAUGAUGAUUCCAACAAAGUGCUUGGUAAGUAAUUGGCUUAAUAGUUGUCUAUGUAAAAUGAUGGUUUUAAAUUGGGAUGUAAAUAGGGUUGUGUAGCAGAGUUGUGAAGGUGGAGGUCUCGGGGGAUCAACACUGGAAACCAUAUUUGCCAAUGCUGGGGUCAAAACAGCCCGAGGUUCUAGUCCUCUUGCUUACUAUAACUAGGAGGUUCAAGUCUCUCAUAAUAUAUGAUAUGGGAGGUUUGAGUCCCCAAUAUCAUAUUACAUGAUCGGGUGACCAAGUCACCUUAGUAUAUGAGCUAGAGGUUUGAGUCCCCCAUGAGUAUAUGUAAGAUUAUUCUUCAGUUUGUGCGGCUACACGAACUGGGGCCCAAUCGGAGGGUGAGAACUGGAGCCCAUACAAUCCGUAGGUGUAACUAAUAUGACAGCUAAGCUACACAACCCAGGUUAAGAUUUCAAAGAUCCAUGUCAAAACCUUGUUCCCUACCCCGACAUGGUAUAUAUACAUAUAUAUAUAUGUGUGUGUUGUAUUAGUUAUAUGCAUUGAUUGAUUGGUUUUGAACUGCUAGCAUUAUAUUAUUCUUAUCCUUGAGUUAUAUGCUAGCACUCCAAUCGCUAAUCGUCUUCGUACGCUGUAUCCUCAAGCGAUGCAGGUGUUGGUCAUACUAUCAUACCUCAUGCUCAGUGACUUGGAUUUGAUGACAACUUGUGUUGACUUGAAAUGGUGAGCUUCCUUACUUCUAAAGGCUCUAUUUAUUACUUUGAGUUUCUUUAUGUCUUUAUUGGUUUAGACUUGGAUAUUGGUUUUUUGGCUACGGUUGGGGGCAUUUCCUGACCGGAUAUUCUUGGUUCGAUUUUGAGGUUUUGUAUGGAUAAACUGUGGACUUGGGUAUGUUAUGGAAUGAAUAUGGAUUUGGUUAUGCUAUGGUUGUUAGUUGCUAUUGGUUGGUUUGAAUUGUUUGGGUUGGUCAUGGUCAUGAACCUAUCCCAAGGUCCUUGAGUUGUAAAUUACUCUAUCUUGUUAUAAUGUCGGAAUUCAUUUAAGUCAUUGUAUAUGUUGGUUGGAUGGAUUGGAUAUCGUGGGUGGUCUUCGGUCCUUGUUAGACUUGAGAUGCCCAUUAUGACAAGGCCCUGAUUCGGGUCGUGUCAAAAGUACAUCGAGUAAGAAAAAUAAUUUGUAAUAAAGUUCGGCAUUACUUUAUUCCAUAUUUGGUAUACGUCAUCAAUGAAUUUCAAAACUGUUUUAUCUCACCAUUUGUACUAAAAUAAUAAGAUUAUUAUACCAUAUGGAGGGCAGUAUAAAGUAAUCACAUGGAAUAUCCAAUGAGUUGAGAUAUCCCUACUUAUUCAAGCCGGUGUACCAAACAACCACUGAAUAUUCUUAGAAUCAAUUGGUAUAUUUGUUUUUCCAUCUUUAUCACAUGAAUUAUAAUGAUGUGUGCAUAUAAGGUGUGACACAAUAUUUUGAGUAGUGGAAAAGUUAAAAAUUACGUUAAGAGUGUUCAUACGUAUCAAAAGUAAUUUGAUCUAUAUACUUCAUAUAAUUUUCUAUAUAUAUACAUAAUAUGAUUCGGUGAAGGGUGUUCAACUGACCACUUGCACGUGGCUACGCUACCCAUGACCAUAUUUGCUGGCAUGUGGAUGGGCAAAAAAUUGAGUCCUUGUGAAGGGGACAAAAUUAUAUGUUCUUAUUUUAUAACGAUAGGAACGACAACUAUCAUUACUGACCAAAAAUACACCAAAUUCUUUUUUAAGUGCUUCAACUGCGGUAUAGAUAGAAGAAGUUUGUACAAAAAAAAUCUUUUGUAUGAGGUUUGAAAUGGUGAGUUGAGGUAGAGUAGAUCGAUAACCAUGUAGUCAUUUGGCUGACUAUUGUAAAUUUCUCUUUUUCUUGCAUGGUAGAUUAUUUAUGGUAAAAAUUUCAUAGGACAAUCUAUUUUGAUCACCUAUUUAAGUAGUACCCAUCUUAUGUAUUUUUUGCACGAAUAUUCAAAUUAGACAAUUUUAGACGAAAUAAUAUAUAUUUUUUUGCUUCACCAUUCAGGCACAUAUGAUUGAAACUUUAGCCAAUUUUAGCAUGUGUUACAGUCAUAGAUGUCUGAGCCUAUACAUAUAUGAAAAAAAUAUUGUUAAAUAAGUUUUUAACUUUGUUGUUGUGUCGACAAAUUGAUGAUUGAUGUUUGUUCCACAUGAUAUAUGGAACUUGUGUUUUAAAUUUAAGUUUAAACAGAGUAGAUUUUGGUGUUUAAAUAUUAAAAAUAUUUUGUAAGAAAAUAAAAAAAUUCAGACAUACAUGGGCCUCAAAUGAGUCUAUUAAUAUAGGUCUAUUUCAUAGUAACUGUUUAAAGUUAUCAAGCUUCAGAUACGAGUAUUUGACUUUUUAUCGAAAGUUGCUAUAAGUUAAAUGACAACAUAAAAAGUGAAUAUUCAUGCACUUUUCCCAUAUUUAUGGCUAGAGUUUGGGAAUCUUAACACCUCAAUUGAUUUUCUAUUUAAAUUUUUAUAUCUUACAAGUUUCUCGACACCUACAUUGUGAUAUGUAUAUUGUUGAACUAUCCGUGUUUAUCGUUGAAUUGAUUAUCUAUGAAUUUUGUUCGUGACACUCUUUAGGACAGAGUUCUUAUUAUUGGUGAAAAUGCCCGGCUAUAAUGUUUUGUUAACUAUUACAAUUUGAUAGGGCCAAUUAAUGUUAGGUACUUACUAGUAGGAAAUGUCGUUGCAGUAUCAGUCAUUGGCAUUAAAAAAUUGUAUUGAGUGAAACCAUUACUGACCAUCAUUAGACAAGCUAUUCACUCUGUUUUAACAAUUUUAGAUUUCAUAUUUCCAAUUUCAGUCAUUCAUUAGUUUACUUGAUUCGCAUUUACAUUAUAUUUCUAUUAGUUGCAAAAUUUGGCCAAUGGACAAGUUGGACGAAGGUAUUGUGUUUUUGGUAACAUGUGUUGUAGAUGUAACGAUCUUUUUAGUUUUUACGUAUGAGCCUCACAUUUAAAAUUUCAUGCAAAAAUUCUUCUCAAAUUUGAAAAGUUAUAAAUUUCAUACUAGGCUAGUUUUAGAUGAAAUUCAAGCAAGGUACGGUCUAGAAAAAUCUGAAAUGAUUAGGAUAGGUAUGAUAGGUUUUGAUUUGAUUCCUAGUUAGGUAAGACGAUAAGAAAUUUGUAGGAUGUUAUGAAAUUAAAGUUGAGUUAGUAUAACUCUCGUAAUUGAUCUUAGCGUAAAGGAUAUUAUUUGGGAUGCCUUGGAAUUAAGACGUGAUGUAAAAAAAAUGGAUUCUAGGCAAAAUCAGGCAUUUUUUUCGCCCAUGUCGCUAUAGUGACGUGUACGUUGCUAUGUCGCUGUAGCGACAUAUCCAAAGGCAAAAAAAAUUCUGCUAUAGCGCCCAGUCAAUGACGCUAUAGCAGUGAAAGUCUCUGUUUUAUUUUAAAAAUCUCUUAAAAAAUUAUUUUUUAAAGCUCAUUUUGGGGUAAGAAAAGGCAAUUUUGAGCGAAAAUCAUCAGCUAAUCAUAGUUUUGCUUCAUUACGGUAAAGAUUCCAUCCUUGUUAACUAUUAAAUCAAUUAUUUAACCUUAGAAUUGCUAAUUUGCAUAGUUCGGGAGGGUUAAAGACUGAUAUUUGUUGGUUUUGUGAUGCAAGGGAGUAAGUUGAGUAUAAAAUCAAUGGAUUUUGGUUAAUUAUUGUUAAUUUAUCGUUGCAUGUCAUUAAUUCACUAAAUCAUCCAUGGAAUAGAUAGUUUUAGGUUAAUUAAGGUAGAAAAUCUCUAGAACAGGGAGAAAAUGAUCAUGAAUUUGGCCUUAGGGGUUGGGUGUGAGUUAUAAUCUUGAACAUGGUAGGGAAUUUUAUUAAUUAAGUAUUUUUAUGUAUUUUGUAGACCAAGAUCAAGCAAAAAUUACACAGACGACUCCAACUUAGUGGAGUUAUGCAAGCUUGGUUCAAGGUACGUGAUAGUAUUGUACUUUAAUCCAAUUUGUACUAUACGUGCAUGUUAACUAUUUCUUAGUAUGGCUUAUUAUUACAUGUUCUUGGUGUGUUUAAUUUAAUGAUUUUAUCUUGUUUCAUGAUUGAACUACCUUAUGGUUAAAAGAGGAAUAUUUUGAUAUUUCGACAUUCUCAGCUUCUGGGUGGAAUAAGGUUGGCAGACACUUAUGUCUGAAGCUUUCGGUGCAUGGAUGAAAUUUGUCUCCUAUAGGUAUGUAUGAGGUUCAAGUGAGUUUGACGGUUCCAUGAGUGAGUCGGGGAAUAUAUUUAUAUGUUGAAUUAUUGCUUAACUUGUCUUGGCUUGCUUUGGCUUGGCUUAACUUACUUUACUUAGUUGAAAAUGAUUUGACUUGUUGCUUGAAAAUCCUAAAUUGCUUAAUUUGGUCCUUGUUUAGCUAGGUAUAGGUUAGAAUGAGCAUGGAUUAACUUGUUGUACUAUGUUUUGGUUAAAUGUUCAUAUUCUUUUUUUGGGAUGGCCAAAUGACCCUGCCAGUAUACUGGUGUUCUUGUGUAUUGAUAAUACACCCGCUCUUACCUUUAUUGAAUGUAGUGCAUAUUUCAGCAGCUCCCGCAAGACCUCAGUUAUGAUUCUAGCGUGUCAUUCAGAUUUCAGGGGUGGUCAGCUUAUUUGGACUACCAUGGAAUCUUUCUUUUAUGACAUUCUCUUUUCUUUUGGACUUAUGCACUUUCCUUUGGUUUUAGGGGUUGCAUUCCCUCCUAGACAUUCAUAGUAUAUUUUGGUACUCUGACUUUCGAAUUAUAGGGUUGUUUUCAUUUUAGUAUUUAUUUCCACAUUUCCUUAAGUUGUAAAUUGGGCAACCUUAAAACUAUUAAUGGGAUAGUUUUCUUCUUCUUUUUGCUAAGUUUUAGUUAAUGAGUAUGGGGUCAUUGAUUCUCCCUUCGGAGAAUGGAGUGGGUGUCACUCACGUCCAAUUUAGUCGUGGAAAAGUUAGUAUCAGAGCCUAGGUUCAUCGAUCUUACUAUAUCAAAAUGGGUCUAGUAGAGUCUAGCAGAAUGGUAUGGAGACAUCUGUACUUUUUUUCGGAAGGCUAUAGGACCUUACAAAAAUUGUCAUUCUUGUUUCUUUCGUAUUGUAACUUGAUUUCAAUUGGUACCAGACAAUCUAAAUUGAUAUCUAAUUUUCUUUACUCUUUAUUCCAUAAAUGGUGACUAUCAGGUCAAACAAAACCUGACCAGAAGCCCACGCACUGGACAUGCUAGUUGUGGAGCCAGCCGUAAGGGGAAGAGGAUGAGAGAGAGAAAGAGGUAAGGAAAAGCUCAAGUAGUUUCUAGCUAGGAUCA